This 161-nucleotide small nuclear RNA is filed under the name Catagonus wagneri (Chacoan peccary). Its description in RNAcentral is "U1 spliceosomal RNA (ENSCWAG00000010283.1)". It matches the Rfam family "U1 spliceosomal RNA". From Rfam's summary of the family: U1 is a small nuclear RNA (snRNA) component of the spliceosome (involved in pre-mRNA splicing). Its 5' end forms complementary base pairs with the 5' splice junction, thus defining the 5' donor site of an intron. The record is from RNAcentral. Lineage: Eukaryota; Metazoa; Chordata; Mammalia; Artiodactyla; Tayassuidae.
AUACUUACCUGGAAGGAGAGAUACCUGGUCACAAAGGUGAUUUUCCUGGGGCAAGGCUCAUCCACUGCACCCUGGAUGUGCUCACUCUGUGAUUUCCCCAAAUGUGGGAAACUCAGCUGAUCAUAUUGUAUUGUAUCUUCAAGGACUUUGGUCAGUGUUAU